Molecule: long non-coding RNA, 272 nt
Organism: Mus musculus (house mouse)
Lineage: Eukaryota; Metazoa; Chordata; Mammalia; Rodentia; Muridae
Product: predicted gene, 41316
Exons: 4
Source: RefSeq, a predicted model, not a curated record
GCCUAUUUUACUGUGAUCUCCAGGUUAAAGUGACCUCCAGGUUAGCCUAUUUUACUGUGAUCUCCAGGUUAAAGUGACCUCCAGGUUAGCCUAUUUUACUGUGAUCUCCAGGUUAAAGUGACCUCCAGGUUAGCCUAUUUUACUGUGAUCUCCAGGUUAAAGUGACCUCCAGGUUAGCCUAUUUUACUGUGAUCUCCAGGUUAAAGUGACCUCCAGGUUAGCCUAUUUUACUGUGAUCUCCAGGUUAAAGUGACCUCCAGGUUAGCCUAUUU